Long non-coding RNA from Nerophis ophidion (straightnose pipefish), 988 nucleotides. RefSeq lists it as uncharacterized. The record is from RefSeq and is a predicted model, not a curated record. Lineage: Eukaryota; Metazoa; Chordata; Actinopteri; Syngnathiformes; Syngnathidae. The transcript has 2 exons.
UUCCGUCGACGGUUGUGUGCUGCCUGUCACGACUAAGACUCCUUUCACAUCUGCAGACCCUGGAGGGCACCACAACAACUGCUUAAAGAGGACAGGUGUGCUUCAUCUGGGAGCAGGUACCCCCCCAACAACCCUUUGUGGAAAAAUGGGGAGGGGCCACUGAAAGCCUUUAAUUAGCCUGCACGCCCGCAAGCUAAAGAGCUAGCAUCACAUGCUCAUUUCUCCGGCACGCAUGAUCCUACCAUUCUCUUUGAUACGCUCAUAAAGAGGAUUUACGAGUCCGACUUACAGGUCUGGGCCGUGGCGAGGUAUUAAGUAUGCAGGUGGAAUGCCUCGCUUUUGUGUUAACUUUUUUUUGAGGCCUCUUUGUUGGCACAACAUGAAGGCUGUGGUUGCCACUGGGAGGAAGCGGGCGGCAGGAAAGACCUCUGGCCACCACCGGAUCCUCUUUCCCGGGUGCAAUCCAUCAGCCUUUGCAAGGUGUCCUGACGUCCUCCGUGAACACCUCACACGUCACUGGCCGGAGCUAAUGAGCUGAAGAAACAAACAGGCGGCUAAAAACGCGACAUUAUCAGCAGGGGCGUCCAAAUGCUGUCAAAUGAUUACCCUAUUGUGGAGAGGCGGAGCCAACGGUCCGACGGAGCGGCAGGGCAUGCUGGAGCCCGGCCCAAGAUGGCGGCAAAGAGGCAGAGAUUGCAGCCGAGCGGAGAGGCGGGGCGUGCAGGGAGCGACGCCGCAAUCAUGUGCAGGUGUGUGGAUCGCGCACCAGUACAUAAUUAACUGAUCUCCUCACUAUGUAUAAAAGGGAGAAGGAGGAGAGAUCGGCAGCAACGACCGAGGAACGGAAACAAAGAGCAGACGAGGACGACGAGGACGGCAGCUGAAAAGCGGACUGUGAGCGAGCAGAAGGAGAGGAGCAGCUGAAAAGCGAUCCGACUUGAAGACAAAGCUUUAUUUGAAAAAAUAAAACAGUCAAACCUGCUCAAAA